AAGUCGUAACAAGGUCUCCGUAGGUGAACCUGCGGAGGGAUCAUUAGCACGUUUUCAAAACGUAUUAACCUUAUGUGAAUUGUUUUUCCCGGUCCUUUGCAUCGCAGUAAAUCUGGAUCCAGUUAGAGCAGUAAGGGAGGACGCAGGGUAAAACCUGUUGCCUCUUAACCUCCAGAUGUCUUUUCUUACGUGGACUUAGAAAAGGUGCAUGCAUUGUGAUCGAAUUACUGUUUUUUCACCCCAUUUUAAACACUUUUGUACUAACUAGAGUAUUUCAUAUACAUUUCCAAUUAGGAAACUCUGAACAACUCUUAACAACGGAUAUCUUGGUUCUC
This 335-nucleotide unclassified non-coding RNA is filed under the name fungal sp. Its description in RNAcentral is "partial internal transcribed spacer region". The stretch from base 1 to 46 matches the Rfam family "Eukaryotic small subunit ribosomal RNA", at positions 1786 to 1831 of the family's 1831-position model. Lineage: Eukaryota; Fungi. The record is from RNAcentral.